Molecule: transfer RNA, 72 nt
Filed under: Araneus ventricosus
Lineage: Eukaryota; Metazoa; Arthropoda; Arachnida; Araneae; Araneidae
Rfam family: tRNA
About the family: Transfer RNA (tRNA) molecules are approximately 80 nucleotides in length. Their secondary structure includes four short double-helical elements and three loops (D, anti-codon, and T loops). Further hydrogen bonds mediate the characteristic L-shaped molecular structure. tRNAs have two regions of fundamental functional importance: the anti-codon, which is responsible for specific mRNA codon recognition, and the 3' end, to which the tRNAs corresponding amino acid is attached (by aminoacyl-tRNA synthetases). tRNAs cope with the degeneracy of the genetic code in two manners: having more than one tRNA (with a specific anti-codon) for a particular amino acid; and 'wobble' base-pairing, i.e. permitting non-standard base-pairing at the 3rd anti-codon position.
Source: Rfam by way of RNAcentral
GGUUCGGUGGUCUAGGGGUAUGAUUCUCGCUCUGGGUGCGAGAGGUCCCGGGUUCAAAUCCCGGUCGAACCC